GAGAAUUAGGGUUACAACAGAAUAGAGAGUCAGAAUACAGAAUACGUAGAAACUGCUUUUGGGAGAAAAAGGGAGAAAGUGAGAAGUUAGAUAAGAGAAGAGGAGAAAACUUGUAAAGUCCAAAUUCAAUCUAAGGUAAGGGUGGGACUAACCUUCUUUAAUCAUAAGUAUAUAGUUCUGAAAAAGGGUUUAAGCUUGUAGUUGUUAAUAGUUUUGAUGUUAUAGAAAUUAGGUUUUGAUUUGGAAUUGAUUGUUAAAAAAGUAGAUAAUUCAAUAAAUUAGUGUACAAAUUCAUGUUUUGGUCCAAGUUUUAUAUGGUUUUGAGUGCCUUUUCAUGUUUAGAAAUGUUUAGACGAGUUUCGGGAUCAAAUUUGGGCAUAGGGAAGUUAAAAAUGGGAUUUUUUGGUGAAAAAUGUCAAGUUCCCGAGAGAUAUCAGAUUGAGCUCGCCAUGGCGGAUGACCUAUUCGCCUGGCGAAAUGUUCAGUGACAGACUGCCUUGUUUCACGUUCUUGCGUCUGUUUCACACGUUUCUGUUUUGAGUUGGUCUUCGGUGUAAACAUGAAAGUUGUUGAUAAUUGUGUUAUCUUUCCAGUAUUCUUGAUUUGAUGUGAAUAUCUUUGUUGGAUGAUUUAAUAUUUAUUAUAUGUAUAUGUUGAUGAAUUUGAUGUUAUAUGAUGUUGUUCAUGAUUGAUGAAUUAUUAUAUGAAUGUAUAAGUUGAUGAAUAUGAUGUCAUUCAAGAUUGAUGAACUAUUAUAUGAAUGUAUAUGUUGAUGAAUAUGAUUUUAUAUGAUGUUGUUCAUGAUUGGUGAAUUAUUAUAUGAAUGUAUAUGUUGAUGAAUAUGAUGUUAUAUGAUGUUGUUCAUGAUUGCUAAAUUAUGAAGUCAUAAUGCGAAGUCGUUGUUGUUGUUGUUGUUGUUGCAUUGGUAGUGUCAAUGCAUAAUCAUUUUAAACGAAGAGGGCUUGAUGCUCUGUUAAUUUUAAGCGAAGAGGGCUUGAUGCUCUGUUAUUUAAUCGAAGGGAACUUGAUGCUCUGUUGUAGGGAGCUUGAUGCUCUGAUGGUACGACAUGCAUAUUAGCAUCUCUUGAGUUGUUAUUGUUGCAUUGUUGAGUUGUUGUUGUUGCAUUGCGGAGUUGUUGUUGUUGUUGUCACAUUGUUGUUGUUGUUAUUAUUGCAUUGUUAAAAUGAAGAUAAUUGAUGAAUUGUUGAUUGGAAUUAUGUGAAGCAUUGUUGAUGAUGAUUUGCUGUUGUUUUGUGUUGAUAAAUUCUUUUACAUUAUUGUUUAUUAGUGUUGUUAAUGAUGAAUUGAGGUUGUUAUGUGUUGUUAAAUUCUUUUAUAGAAUUAUAUGCUUAUUAUUAUUGAAUUUGAAAUUUCACUCAUUCUGUUUGAAUGUUGCCUCUACGUGGGUAAUGUGCAGAUAACCAGGAGUAAUCGCUGAUGUGAGUUGAUUCUCGUGUCGUCCUAGGAGUCGCUCUGAUACGUACGGGAUGGGGAUUAGCUUUAUUUAUUUUCCAUUAUUAUGUAUUCUUUUUAUGAAUUUAUUGUUGAACAUUUUUUAGAUGAAAUUAAUUAUAUUGAUGAUGUUGAUGUUAGUUUGUUUUUAAUUCAAGUUUAGUUUUAGUGAUAAUCACAAUCAGUGGUUAAUCACAGUUUGUUUUAGUUUGUUAUGAAGUUUGUUACAAGUUUGUUAGAGGUUAGCAGAUAAGAUC
This 1710-nucleotide long non-coding RNA is filed under the name Medicago truncatula (barrel medic). RNAcentral's name for it is "long non-coding RNA (MTRU_LNC000651)". The record is from RNAcentral. Lineage: Eukaryota; Viridiplantae; Streptophyta; Magnoliopsida; Fabales; Fabaceae.